RNAcentral lists this long non-coding RNA (847 nucleotides) under Marmota monax (woodchuck). Lineage: Eukaryota; Metazoa; Chordata; Mammalia; Rodentia; Sciuridae. The record is from RNAcentral.
UCUUGGAAAAGUUUUCCCUGAGGCUCACCCCCAAGGACGGCUGCCAAGAAUGGAACAGACACUCCCAGAGUCGCAGGGCCGCUCUGGGCCAUUGGGAGACCCGCGGGUGAGACAGGAAAAUUUCCCUGGUGGACACUGGCACCUCCCAGAGCAGCUGGAGCAGUUCCCAAGCCCGAUGGACCUGGAAAUUUCUGCAGGGUCUUGGAAGUGGGUAGCUGUGAAACGGCAACCAUGAAAAAAACUCAUAAAUAACAUGGAUGAAUCAUUGUUACUCCAUCAUUUCAUAGUGGAGAAGUUCUUUCUAAAGCAUAAAAAAAAAACAGAAGCCAACAAGGAAAUUCCUGAUGAACUUGACUACAUAAAGUUUAAACAAAAUCCACAAACAAAGCCAAAAAAACACCAAAUGACUGGGAAACAUUUGUGCAGAUACUAGUAUGAUAAGAAUGUUGAUUUGAUACACAAGAGUUAAGACAUGAAGGCUACCUAAGUGUCCACUUAAGAAGAAUGGAAAAAGGAAAUGUGGUGUAUAUGCAGAAGAGAAUACUAUUCAACCUCUUUUUAGAGGGGGGAAAAGGGGUAGUCAUUUUUGACAAUGUAACUGAACCUGGAGGAAAUUAUACUAAGGGGAAUAAGACAGGCACAGAAGGACAGAUACCACAUGAUCUCAUAUGUGGAAUCUAUAACAGUUGAAUUCACAGGAGAAAGCAAGGUCAUGGUAACCAGAGAUUGGGAAUUGGGGAGAUAUUAUUGGUACGUAACACCGAGGAAUGUCUUAGUAAUCCACAUGGCGUAGUGACUGUAGUCAAUGCUAAUAUAUAUUUCAAAAUUGUUAAAAAAUAGGUUUUAA